Molecule: ribosomal RNA, 245 nt
Filed under: uncultured Burkholderiales bacterium
Lineage: Bacteria; Pseudomonadati; Pseudomonadota; Betaproteobacteria; Burkholderiales
Description: partial 16S ribosomal RNA
Rfam family: Bacterial small subunit ribosomal RNA
Source: RNAcentral
UACGUAGGGUGCGAGCGUUAAUCGGAAUUACUGGGCGUAAAGGGUGCGUAGGCGGUUCUGCAAGUCAGAUGUGAAAGCCCUGGGCUUAACCUGGGAAUGGCAUUUGAAACUAGGGAACUAGAGUGUAGCAGAGGGAGGUGGAAUUCCACGUGUAGCAGUGAAAUGCGUAGAGAUGUGGAGGAACACCGAUGGCGAAGGCAGCCUCCUGGGCUAACACUGACGCUCAAGCACGAAAGCGUGGGGAG